This is an unclassified non-coding RNA of Gopherus agassizii (Agassiz's desert tortoise), 168 nucleotides long. Lineage: Eukaryota; Metazoa; Chordata; Testudines; Testudinidae. The record is from Ensembl.
UGAAAGGUGCUGGAGACUGAAAUCUUCUGUUCCUCCAUGGAACAAGGAGAGCAGCAGAGCAAGCUUCCACAUGCUGCCUUGCUAAUGUGCCUCAACCCUGAGCGGCAGGCACCACUGCAUAGGGUGAGAGGAUAGUUCAGUUUCCAUCGCUGUGCUGAAGCUACCACU